GGGGAUUGUCCCUGUAAUAAGUGCACUGUAUAAUACAUUGGUACUCAGAAGGUUGCUGGUUUGAUCCCCACAGUCACCACCAUUGUGUCCUUGAGUAAGACACUUAACUCCAGGUUGCUCCGGGGGGAUUGUCCCUGUAAUAAGUGCACUGUAUAAUACAUUGGUACUCAGAAGGUUGCUGGUUUGAUCCCCACAGUCACCACCAUUGUGUCCUUGAGUAAGACACUUAACUCCAGGUUGCUCCGGGGGGAUUGUCCCUGUAAUAAGUGCACUGUAUAAUACAUUGGUACUCAGAAGGUUGCUGGUUUGAUCCCCACAGUCACCACCAUUGUGUUCUUGAGCAAGGCACUUAACUCCAGGUUGCUCCGGGGAGAUUGUCCCUGUAAUAAGUGCACUGUAUAAUACAUUGGUACUCAGAAGGUUGCUGGUUUGAUCCCCACAGUCACCACCAUUGUGUCCUUGAGUAAGACACUUAACUCCAGGUUGCUCCGGGGGGAUUGUCCCUGUAAUAAGUGCUCUGUAUAAUACAUUGGUACUCAGAAGGUUGCUGGUUUGAUCCCCACAGUCACCACCAUUGUGUCCUUGAGUAAGACACUUAACUCCAGGUUGCUCCGGGGGGAUUGUCCCUGUAAUAAGUGCUCUGUAUAAUACAUUGGUACUCAGAAGGUUGCUGGUUUGAUCCCCACAGUCACCACCAUUGUGUUCUUGA
Molecule: long non-coding RNA, 709 nt
Organism: Xyrauchen texanus (razorback sucker)
Lineage: Eukaryota; Metazoa; Chordata; Actinopteri; Cypriniformes; Catostomidae
Exons: 3
Source: RefSeq, a predicted model, not a curated record